GAGGGCCCGUCCUCACCGGAUGUUGGCACCAUGGUUCCCACGGGAAUGCUUUCCGAUCAAGAGGCCGACAGGCUGGAGGGCACCGGGUACUGGCUACACCGGCCUGGGGCAGGAAGGCUAAGGAAGUGCCAAGGAACCCAGGAAGCAGGCUCCGACCUUUGAUUUGGAAUGCAGGCAAGAUGUCCAGACUGAGAUCAAGGCGCCUCUCUGAGCCCAUCAUCCUUUGCCCAUUUUAGUCUAGGAGGAAGCUCAGUGUAGAAGCAAGUCUGGGCUUUGGCAUCACAGGGACCUGAGUCCAAAUCCUGGCUCAGCCACUUACCAGCUGGGGGACUUAUAAUAAGAAGGAUCACCUCAAUUUCCCUACUUUGGGGAACUGCUUCUCUCCCAGUCCAAUCGUAUGAUUCUAGUGCACCCUCUUGUCAGUGGACCCCACUCCAUGGCCCCAGGGGUGAUCAAAGAACUAGGGCGAGACCAUGGAGCUGCCAUCAUUUCCCAGAGCUGAAAUGCUGUGAAUGGGGGCUUGCUGGUAGCCAUCGUUGCCAGACAGUCUGGAGAUGACGACAAUCUGUCUGCAUAACAGAAAAUGAGACAGAGAAGAAAUGCAGAAGGCAAAAAGAGACUUGACAAUAUCAUUUGAGUUCCUCUAUCCAGUCUGUUUCUGGGACUAACCCUCUCUAGGUGAAGGAUUGACUCAUUUCCUCAUUUAACAAACUUCUAUUGAGUUCCUAGUGCAUGAAGGGGAAUACGGAAAUAAGGAAGAUACUGUCACUGUCCUCGAGGCAGUAAUUGUGCUGUGACAGGCAUGGAUGUGUAUACACACACACACACACACACACACACUCAUAGUGGAUAAUGGAGGAGGCACAAAAGAAAGUACACUACCAUCUGGGCCAAGGCGGGGGUGCGGGCAGCUCAACAAAGACUUCAUGGAGGUGGUGACCCCCAGAGGAAUCUUAAAAUGCCACUGGUAGGAGUGAUCCUCAAUGGGUCCACUCUUCAAAGUACGAGGCUAGGCCGCCCGGGCUGCUCAGUUGGAAAUCCUUUGUGGACGUAUUUCUAAGGAUAAGCCUUUGCCACAUGAGCAUGCUGCUAAGCUGGAGGCCUUCACUGGGAGGUGACACAAUGCUGGAAAGGAACCACUGCAGGCUGAUGCCCUGAGCUGUCUCCACCACAGACCUCCCAUUGUGUUCUGUCAUUUCCUCCGGAAGUUUUAAUUUUGGAAGGCCGCCCUGACCUACCUCUUCAGGUUGAUCAAAUGGCACAGUUAUCUACCUAGGAUCCCAGAUUGUAUUGAACUGAAUGGAUGGGAGUAGGGGGCUGUCUAGAAAAGAAAGUGCCAAAGGGAGUCCAGCCAUCCACAAGCUGUUAGCUGGAGCCGGCUGCCCACAAAGGAUCCCUUUGUUAUUCCAGGAGGUGUUGUCACAAGAGCUUGGCCACAACUCACGAAGCACAUCCAGGAACUGUUUUCAUGAAAGGGCUGGCAGGGAGCACUGUCUGGUGGCCUGGAACGGAUUCUGAUCUUGAGCAGACCGGGAGGGGGAACACCCGCCAGGCUGCCCGGCACCACCUGCCCCUGAAGCCGGCUGUCCCAUGGGCAGUGACCAAGAAGCACGGCCAGAACUCCACAAAAGGCCUUCUGGGCUGUGGUCAGCUCCCUCUCUGAAAGGUUCUGAGAGCUCCUACUUCCAUCCUAAACCUUGUUGUUGCAGAAACAAUUGCAACUCUUCCCUUAUAAUUUGCAACACACUGCAGCCCUCAAUCAUAUCCAUCUUGACCACAGCAGAGUGUCAGAAAUCUUUGGAAAGGAAAUUGAUCUGAAUUGCUACUCUUAUAGCUAGAGUGACUGUGUAAUUUAUCUUUCAAACCUAAACACUUUGAAAAGUCAUAGGAGGCACUGGGACAACUGGCAUGAACUUGGACCAGCCCAGGCAAACCUAAAAGUCUGGGCUCCCUAUUUAUUCCCUUGAACAAAAGGUGAAGACAAAAGGAUGGUGCCUUGAAGCAGAUUGUUGGUGGAGAUGGCAACCAGCCAGUCCAAAUUCCUUGAUGUCUCUCACUCCAUGUUUCAUAGCAGGAUGUUCUGAGUUAAUCAUGGCACAGCUUGCCUUAGCAACCUCCAUCCAGACUUUGCUGAGGACGCACUAGCCAAGAACAUAGUCUAGAUGCAUUCCCUGUGUAACUGUUCUUCUGUUGUUCUCGGAGGCUGUGAAGCACAGAAUAAGAAGGUAAGCUUGUACGUGAAAGAUCAAGCAACACCAAGUGUGGGAGAGGGCACAGAGCCACAGACACUCUGGCACACUGCAUGAGGGUGAGCUGCACAGUGAACUGGAGGAGCACAAUGCCCUCGGCCGAGUAAUUCCUCUCCUGAGUGUACACCGUGUGAAACUCUCACAUGCGUGCAGAAGGAUACCUGAACAAAAACGUUUGUAGCAGCACUGUCUAGAAGAGUAAAAAACUGAGCGCAAUCUAAAGGUCCAUCAACAGAGUUGUGGAUUGUGGAAAGUGAUGACAAAAACAAAUCAUCCAAUUAAAAGAUGGGCAGAGGAUCUGAAUAGACGUUUUUCCAAAGAUGACAAACAAUUGGCCAACAGGUACAUGAA
Long non-coding RNA from Equus caballus (horse), 2600 nucleotides. RefSeq lists it as uncharacterized. NCBI's taxonomy places the organism in Eukaryota, Metazoa, Chordata, Mammalia, Perissodactyla, Equidae. The record is from RefSeq and is a predicted model, not a curated record.